RNAcentral lists this long non-coding RNA (1010 nucleotides) under Equus caballus (horse). RNAcentral's name for it is "lncRNA (ENSECAG00000050408.1)". Lineage: Eukaryota; Metazoa; Chordata; Mammalia; Perissodactyla; Equidae. The record is from RNAcentral.
CGAGGCACGCCUCCCUGGAGAGGGCUGCUUUUCAGCGCAGGGCUGACAGCUGCUGUGAGCCAGGUCUGUCUCUCCUUCAUGCAUCUUCCUGAAGGACACGAUAGGACCCGGGCCAGGGUUUCCUUUCCACUACCUGGAAGGUUCAAAGCCAAACUCAAAUGGCCGAUGUUCUUAGAAAGCUGGCUCAAACCACAGUUGCUCCAGUGUUCUUAGCAGGCGCAAGGCCGUGUUCCUCAGCUGGACCAGCUCUGAGCUAAGCAAAGUCACUUCAGUUAGGAGGCCAGGAGUCAUGUUUGAAUCUGGCUUGCACAAGCACAAAUGGGCAUGUGUGGUGUGAGUACUUCCAAUGACGGUGCUGACAAUGACAAUGUUGGCCCUUGGUAAGCCUGGCUGGAGGUGCCUUCGUGAGUUCUUCACUCAUCUCUCACAUGAGGCCACUCUUUGUCCCAGCGAUACACCAAUGAUGUCUUGAGUCCUAGUGGGUCUCCCAGGAGUGGGGGCAGUGAGGGUGGGUCUGGGAUUCACAGCCAGCGAGCGACACACACAUGAUCCACAUCACCAGUUCUUCUUGCCAUAGUGGAAAUGGCAGAAGGGAGGGGAAAGGAAUCAGUGUUAGUGGGGAGAACCAGGCAAAGGUUAAUGCUGUGGAGCUACACUUUUGUCCCAGUUUAUAUGGGUCCAAGACAGCCCCUGCCCCCUUACCUGCUUUUCCCAAGUUGGCACAUUUUUCUUCUGUGGAUGACUGGACUGGGGAAGGCCCCUGCCCCUUUACGGUCAGUGUGAGACAGAUUCGAGGUGUAGGGACAUAAACCAAAAGGAAGGCUGUGACAGUGCUGGCCUGGAAAUGGUUUAACUGAGGACAAAGUGAGACACUGAGUAUUUGCUUCCUCCGUGAUUAACUCAUCAGUAAAUCCAGAUAUGCGGUCUCAGGGGGCAACCUCUGCAGCCCAUUAUCAUGAAGGCUCAUGUACCCUGGGAAGUGAUUCCCCUGCUAUUUUAUACAAGCUGAG